CAUGCAUGCCUUCGAAUAAGAGGAAGCAAUUCUCUCUGAAUCUGCGAACGGCUCCGCACACCAGUUGUAAACUAUAGCAAGCAAGCCUGUAUCCUUUCGGGGGUGCAGGUUACAUGGAUAACCCUGGUAAUUCUGAGGCUAAUACGAGAACGUACUACUCUGCUAACCGGGCAACUGGAAGGCGGGGAGGUGUGUGAUCAUGCACGAGGAAUCUGCUAGGAAUAGUCGCACGCCUGGACCGCGCUACAAACGGUCGGGAUGCCUCACGGUGUCUCGUCCGAGCGGCUCUUGCUUUGUGCUUCUGACCUAUCAACUAGAUGGCAGCGUAAUGGACAUGCUAUGGUUACAACGGGUACAGAGGAUAAGGGUUCGAUCCUGGAGAGUGGGCCUGAGAGAUUGCUCAUACUUCUAAGGAAGGCAGCAGGCGCGCAACGUUCCCCUUGUGCAAUGCAUGAGGGCGUUAGGGGACAUAUGAAUGCUUGCCUUUUAGGUGAGCAAUUCAAAUGGGUCUGUUGUAAACAGGCUC
This 526-nucleotide ribosomal RNA is filed under the name Didymium eximium. RNAcentral describes it as "SSU rRNA". It matches the Rfam family "Eukaryotic small subunit ribosomal RNA", at positions 50 to 536 of the family's 1831-position model. The record is from RNAcentral. Lineage: Eukaryota; Evosea; Eumycetozoa; Physariida; Didymiaceae.